CUGGCUUAAAACAGGCCCUUCCAAGAGUUCAACCUGCGUCGGAGGCAAAAGGUGAGGAAGAACACAAUGCAGACGCAAUUGAACUGUCCGAGAAUGUAACCAGUUUGUCAAAUUCUUGCGAGAAGGAGACUGAAUCAACAUCAGAGGAAGAUGAAGAGAGCUCGAAUGAGUCAGAAGGAGGACCGGGUUCAUCAACCGAGACAAUGCAGACGCCAGUUGACAGGAAAACUGCCAGAAAAGAGAACAAGAAGAAGGUGAAGGAAGAGAAGAGAGAGGCUCGCAAGAACAAG
RNAcentral lists this unclassified non-coding RNA (290 nucleotides) under Hevea brasiliensis (rubber tree). The record is from RNAcentral. Lineage: Eukaryota; Viridiplantae; Streptophyta; Magnoliopsida; Malpighiales; Euphorbiaceae.